UGGGGAAUUUUACGCAAUGGGGGAAACCCUGACGUAGCGACACCGCGUGAGCGAAGAAGCCUUUUGGGGUGUAAAGCUCUGUCAGCUGGAACGAACACAAUGACGGUACCAGCAGAGGAAGCAUCGGCUAACUACGUGCCAGCAGCCGCGGUAAGACGUAGGAUGCAAGCGUUGUCCGGAUUCAUUGGGCGUAAAGAGUUCGUAGGUGGUCUGUUAAGUUUGGUGUUAAAGAGCGGGGCCCAACCCCGAUAGUGCACUGAAUACUGGCAGACUUGAGUGCGGUAGAGGUAAGUGGAAUUCCAAGUGUUGCGGUGAAAGGCAUAGAUAUUUGGAAGAACACCGGUGGCGUAAGCGACUUACUGGGCCGUAACUGACACUGAGGAACGAAAGCCGGGGUAGCGAAUG
This 405-nucleotide ribosomal RNA is filed under the name uncultured bacterium. Its description in RNAcentral is "bacterial SSU rRNA". It matches the Rfam family "Bacterial small subunit ribosomal RNA", at positions 355 to 774 of the family's 1533-position model. The record is from RNAcentral.